RNAcentral lists this microRNA precursor (75 nucleotides) under Anolis carolinensis (green anole). Its description in RNAcentral is "Aca-Let-7-P2c1_pre stem-loop". It matches the Rfam family "let-7 microRNA precursor family", at positions 8 to 78 of the family's 84-position model. From Rfam's summary of the family: This family represents the microRNAs (miRNA) let-7 and mir-98. let-7 was identified from a study of developmental timing in C. elegans, and was later shown to be part of a much larger class of non-coding RNAs termed miRNAs. The extents of the hairpin precursors are not generally known and are estimated based on hairpin prediction. The products are thought to have regulatory roles through complementarity to mRNA. The record is from RNAcentral. Lineage: Eukaryota; Metazoa; Chordata; Lepidosauria; Squamata; Anolidae.
AGAGGUAGUAGGUUGCAUAGUUUUAGGGCAGUGGUUUUGCCCAAAAGGAGUUAACUAUACAACCUGCUGCCUUUC